GAAGGUAGGAAAAAAUUCAAUUAAUCAGUCAUAUCUCCAUUUUUAGAAGGUAGAGUGAUGGAAAGUCUUCCCUUGUGUCUCAGCAAAGGUACUGGAAAGGCCAACUUGGCUUGUUGAUUUGGAGAAUAUCUGGUUAAUGGAUAGUUAUGUACUGUUGAAGGGGACACUCCUCUGGUACACUAUUGCAUGCCUGGAAUUCCAUGGUAUUCUUUGUGAUGUCACUAGUGUUAUGGAAACAGAAGCUGCCCUUGUGGUAUUUUGUUAAUGCUUAUUGUUUUAGACACAGACAUGUUUUCUAGGAUUAUCGAGUUAUUUACAGGAAAAACAGAGUGCAUGGAGAGAUGAGAGAGAAAAAAAAAUGAUAUUAGGACUUCUUUCUUGUUAUAAAUAUGCAAAAUAAAUAAUCUGGUGUAAAGCAGAGAGAGUAAGCCCUGAGCCAGUACUGGGGAACUUCCUGGAGAAGCUGUGCUUGGGUCAGACCUUCUAGGAGCAGGACUUAUGGUCUGAAACAUCUGGACUUUUAAAGAAGGGACCAAGCGUCAAGAAUAUCUGAUGAAUAUUUGGCAGACAGCCAGAAAUUGACAAGCAUGCAGGUCUGCUGGGAAGGCAUCAUGCCAACCUUCCACCAUCAAUGAGCAAGUUCAGCAGAUUAAGAAGUAGGAGAAACUGACUAUUGAGCUCAAGAAGAAAACCUAAAAGCAGAAGCUGUGUUUGAAUAACAGACGAGAUAUGGCAAGCAGUGUGUGAGCUCUCAUCCUGGAUUUUAAUAGAGAGAGAUGCAUUUUCUGUCCUCAGAGGAACACAGAAAGUUGGUCAGCUACAGAAGCACA
Rattus norvegicus (Norway rat) is the source of this 830-nucleotide non-coding RNA. Lineage: Eukaryota; Metazoa; Chordata; Mammalia; Rodentia; Muridae. The record is from RefSeq and is a predicted model, not a curated record.